This 253-nucleotide ribosomal RNA is filed under the name uncultured bacterium. Its description in RNAcentral is "partial 16S ribosomal RNA". It matches the Rfam family "Bacterial small subunit ribosomal RNA", at positions 524 to 776 of the family's 1533-position model. The record is from RNAcentral.
UACGUAGGGUGCAAGCGUUAAUCGGAAUUACUGGGCGUAAAGCGUGCGCAGGCGGUUAUGUAAGACAGGUGUGAAAUCCCAGGGCUUAACCUUGGAACUGCAUUUGUGACUGCAUAGCUAGAGUACGGUAGAGGGGGAUGGAAUUCCGCGUGUAGCAGUGAAAUGCGUAGAUAUGCGGAGGAACACCGAUGGCGAAGGCAAUCCCCUGGGCUAACACUGACGCUCAUGCACGAAAGCGUGGGGAGCAAACAGG